Molecule: long non-coding RNA, 706 nt
Organism: Scylla paramamosain (green mud crab)
Lineage: Eukaryota; Metazoa; Arthropoda; Malacostraca; Decapoda; Portunidae
Exons: 4
Source: RefSeq, a predicted model, not a curated record
AUCGCCACCACCACACACAGACCUGCGUUCUACACCCGUCGCCCACGCUCAUUCACAAAGCCCCCAAUACGUGACCGGACUCAGAAUAAACUGUACCGUGUGCAGCACUGAGGCUUUAGAGGUCCUCUACAGACGGCCAGUCCUCCCCCAUCCCCCAUCUUUUCGGGAGACAGGACGGAGUCACGUCAGGGGGAGUCUACGUACUAAAGGAGCAGUCUGCCAGUAUAAUAUCGGCUACGGGACUACCUUCUUGCAUCGAAAGAAAGAUGGCGCGUAUCCACGGAUUAAUGAAAAUGUUUACUCCCAGAUGGCGCGUAUUCAGAGAUUAACAAAGACUUUCACUCCCAGAAGGAUUAACGAAGGUUUUUACUCCUAAUGGAGGCAGGACCUUCGUCCCCCCCGGUGGCCGCCGUGGGGGCCUAUCACAAUGUGCCUGAAUAAAGACUCCUGCAGAAGGGGGAGGAAGAGGGUGAGGAUGAGGCCAGACCAGGAACACGGCCACAAGUUAUGAGGAUCUGGAGGAGGAAGAGGGAAAGGAGGGAAGAAAAGAAGGAAAGGAAUGGAUGGGAACAAGGCAAACAGUGUCCAGUCUGCAAAUAAUUUACAAUCUGUAUUUCUCAUAAACAAUAUAUAUAUUUUUAUGAACAAAUUAGUGUUUUUUUUGUAUUUUUUAUGGUGGGAACUAUCAAUAAAGCUAAUACUAAUA